RNAcentral lists this ribosomal RNA (253 nucleotides) under uncultured bacterium. Its description in RNAcentral is "partial 16S ribosomal RNA". It matches the Rfam family "Bacterial small subunit ribosomal RNA", at positions 524 to 776 of the family's 1533-position model. The record is from RNAcentral.
UACGUAGGGGGCUAGCGUUGCUCGGAAUGACUGGGCGUAAAGGGCGCGUAGGCGGCUUGCACCGUCAGAUGUGAAAUUCCUGGGCUUAACCUGGGGGCUGCAUUUGAUACGUGUGGGCUUGAGUGCGGAAGAGGGGCGUGGAAUUCCCAGUGUAGAGGUGAAAUUCGUAGAUAUUGGGAAGAACACCGGUGGCGAAGGCGGCGACCUGGUCCGUGACUGACGCUGAGGCGCGAAAGCGUGGGGAGCAAACAGG